This 332-nucleotide long non-coding RNA is filed under the name Felis catus (domestic cat). RNAcentral's name for it is "lncRNA (ENSFCAG00000048378.1)". Lineage: Eukaryota; Metazoa; Chordata; Mammalia; Carnivora; Felidae. The record is from RNAcentral.
GUAUUUCUUCAUGGAGAUGAAAACUUAAAAUUUUUGUUGAAUCUUCUGACAUCUUCAACUGCUUUGUGAAGUCUACUACAGUAUACUGCAAGUAAAAUGAUUUCCUAGUCUUCUGAAAAGAAUAUCUUACUCUGCGUUUGUGACAUACGUGCAUCAUCAUGCUUUCCAGUUUCAGACAUAAUGGCCUUCAUUCCCAAGGUCACCUCCUGGUCCCCUAUGGCUUCUUUGCCCUUUAGACCGCAUGUUCAUAUUCUGGCUAGCAGGUAAGAGAGAAGCACAGAGAAGAAAGGAGAGAAGAUCAUGUGUCAGCUACUUUUACUACUCUUAACAAU